Long non-coding RNA from Cotesia glomerata, 188 nucleotides. RefSeq lists it as uncharacterized. NCBI's taxonomy places the organism in Eukaryota, Metazoa, Arthropoda, Insecta, Hymenoptera, Braconidae. The record is from RefSeq and is a predicted model, not a curated record. The transcript is spliced from 2 exons.
CGUACGGUGUAGUGUAGGGGUUAAUUAUCGGUCUGGUAAGCGCGCGUCUCGGGUUCGAGUCUCGGUUAGAACGAAUGUGAUUUUCACUUUAUUUCUAUAAGUAGCGAAAGUUAGGUCUAAAUAAAGAGUCAAGCGGUCUAAACAUGUGUUAGCUCUACAUUAAAAAUAAUAUAAAAAAAAAAAAAAAA